GACGAACGCUGGCGGCGUGCUUAACACAUGCAAGUCGAACGGAAAGGCCCUGGUUUUGCGGGGUGCUCGAGUGGCGAACGGGUGAGUAACCCGUGAGUGAGCUGCCCUUGACUUUGGGAUAACUUCAGGAAAAUGGGGCUAAUCCCGGAUAUGAGAUCCUGCUGCAUGGUGGGGGUUGGCACGUUUCGGCGGUUGGGGAUGGUUACGGGGCUUAUCAGCUUGUUGGUGGGGUAGUGGAUUACCAGGGCUUGGACGGGUAGCCGGGCUGAGAGGAUGAGCGGCCACGCUGGGACUGGACUGCGACCCGGCCUGGUACCGGAGGGAACGGUGGGGUAGGGUGCACUGUGCGCGGAGGCCAAGUGUGAUCACGCCGCGUGGGGUAGGUGAGGCUGGUGGUUGGAAACUGCUGUCGCCUGGGACGAGGCGUUAGUGACGGUAAUCGGUAAAGAAGCACCGGCUAACUACGUG
Molecule: ribosomal RNA, 468 nt
Filed under: uncultured bacterium
Lineage: Bacteria
Description: partial 16S ribosomal RNA
Rfam family: Bacterial small subunit ribosomal RNA
Source: RNAcentral